Molecule: ribosomal RNA, 301 nt
Filed under: uncultured bacterium
Lineage: Bacteria
Description: partial 16S ribosomal RNA
Rfam family: Bacterial small subunit ribosomal RNA
Source: RNAcentral
CAUCGCCGCGGGAAUACGGAGGGUGCAAGCGUUAAUCGGAAUUACUGGGCGUAAAGCGCACGCAGGCGGUCUGACAAGUCAGAUGUGAAAUCCCCGGGCUUAACCUGGGAACUGCAUUUGAAACUGUCAGGCUGGAGUCUUGUAGAGGGGGGUAGAAUUCCAGGUGUAGCGGUGAAAUGCGUAGAGAUCUGGAGGAAUACCGGUGGCGAAGGCGGCCCCCUGGACAAAGACUGACGCUCAGGUGCGAAAGCGUGGGGAGCAAACAGGAUUAGAUACCCCAGUAGUCCCUGUCUCUUAUACC